AAACGCUUGAAGUCAGACUUGCUAUUUGGUGUUCAGCCGCAAGGUGUAUUCAUCAAUUUGCAGGCCAGCAUCAGUUUUUGGGGGUAGAAAAGGGUAUUGAGAACGUGGCUGUCUCGGCAGUGUUAUAGCUCUUUACUGGAUCUAUCCUUGGGGACUGAGGAACGCAGUACGCUUUUUGCAAUCUCUUCGGGGAUUUCGUACUUAGGAUGCUGGUGGAAUGGCUUUAAACGA
Molecule: ribosomal RNA, 231 nt
Filed under: Rhodotorula sp.
Lineage: Eukaryota; Fungi; Basidiomycota; Microbotryomycetes; Sporidiobolales; Sporidiobolaceae
Description: partial large subunit ribosomal RNA
Source: RNAcentral